RNAcentral lists this ribosomal RNA (439 nucleotides) under uncultured bacterium. RNAcentral describes it as "partial 16S ribosomal RNA". It matches the Rfam family "Bacterial small subunit ribosomal RNA", at positions 339 to 795 of the family's 1533-position model. The record is from RNAcentral.
CUACGGGUUGCUCCAGUGAGGAAUAUUGCACAAUGGGGGGAACCCUGAUGCAGCAACGCCGCGUGGAGGAUGACGCAUUUCGGUGUGUAAACUCCUUUUAUAUGUCAAGAAAGUGACGGUAGCAUAUGAAUAAGCACCGGCUAACUCCGUGCCAGCAGCCGCGGUAAUAGGGAGGGUGCAAGCGUUACUCGGAAUCACUGGGCGUAAAGGACGCGUAGGCGGGUUGGAAAGUCAGGUGUGAAAUCCUACAGCUUAACUGUAGAACUGCACUUGAAACUUCUAAUCUAGAGUAUGGGAGGGGGAGAUGGAAUUAGUGGUGUAGGGGUAAAAUCCGUAGAUAUCACUAGGAAUACCUAAAGCGAAGGCGAUCUCCUGGAACAUUACUGACGCUAAGGCGUGAAAGCGUGGGGAGCAAACAGGAUUAGAUACCCCUGUAGUC